This 253-nucleotide ribosomal RNA is filed under the name uncultured bacterium. RNAcentral's name for it is "partial 16S ribosomal RNA". It matches the Rfam family "Bacterial small subunit ribosomal RNA", at positions 524 to 776 of the family's 1533-position model. The record is from RNAcentral.
UACAGAGGGUGCAAGCGUUAAUCGGAAUUACUGGGCGUAAAGCGCACGUAGGCGGUUUUUUAAGUCAGAUGUGAAAGCCCCGGGCUCAACCUGGGAAUUGCAUUUGAAACUGGCCAACUAGAGUACGUGAGAGGGGGGUAGAAUUCCAAGUGUAGCGGUGAAAUGCGUAGAGAUUUGGAGGAAUACCAGUGGCGAAGGCGGCCCCCUGGCACAACACUGACGCUCAGGUGCGAAAGCGUGGGGAGCAAACAGG